CGGCAGUUUCCUAUUUUUUUUUUGUCGGCAGUUUCCUAAUUCUAUACGAUAAAAGCUUGUUGUGCAUUUUUAUUUAUUUUUUUAGUAAGUGGCAUAAUUGUAAUUUUUCAUCAUCUUCUCCAGAAUUUUUUUUUAGGGUUUAAACACUGUAAACCUAUUUUCAUGGCGGCCAUCAACUAUUUCCUUGUAAAUUAUCAAAUUGUUGUGUGAUUACGUAUCAGUUAUGUCUCAAAUACAUAGAUCUGUCGUAAAACAUCAGUUUUAAACAUUCAAAACUCAAAAAAAAAAAAUCGCGACCUUCGAUUUGCUUGCCGCCUAUGACGAAAUCACUAUGCCCAAGCACAGCUCAAUAUCUCGCUAAGCGCAGCGCUUAAUCGGGUGCCUUACGAGAAUUUUCGAACAUGACCCUUGUCUUAAUUUUUGUAGUCUCAGACGAGUAAGUGGAAUGAAGGAAAUC
Molecule: long non-coding RNA, 457 nt
Filed under: Brassica napus (rape)
Lineage: Eukaryota; Viridiplantae; Streptophyta; Magnoliopsida; Brassicales; Brassicaceae
Description: long non-coding RNA (BNAP_LNC021214)
Source: RNAcentral